CAUUGACAAGAUAUUCAAAGUCUGAAAGCUACAGACUAGGAUAAUCUCUAGAAUUCCUUAGAGCUCCACCCAAUCUACAAUUCUGUUGACCAAACAACAUAACCUGGAUUUGUAGGAUAAUUGCCAACUUCCCACUUCACUUUGUAGUUGGAGCAAGCUUUUGAUGAAAAGAAAGGAAAAAAGACUCCGUGUAAAGGAGGGGAAAUUCAGCUGAACUUCAUGAGACCAGCUUAGCUCUUUCAGGGAAAACGCUAAAGAGCCAAAGGAUUGGCUUUCCAUCACUGUUUCCAUCACUGUUUCAUAGGUUGGUGGGAAACCGGUUCCCCUUAGAGGGCCAUCUCUGUCUCUUCUAAAUGACUUUAAUUCCGUUGGUUGCAUGGAAAUAAAACACCAUCUAGGAGCUACUCCGAACUGUACAAACUGAAUUCUGUUAUCUGACCCAACCCCUAAUUUUCAGUCUGUCAGGGUGAUUUUCCUGAGGAAUUGGGACUUCAUCAGGAAGGAAGAACACAGAUUGCAGUGUGAAGGGCGUCCCCGAGAGUUGUACCUGCACAACCAUCUGGCACAGUGGCCCUGGAAAGGAAGUGCAAAUAUAUGUGGAGGAAAAAGAGAAACAAGGAGCCGCCGAAUUUCCACUCAAUGCAGCCCCCCCAGCUUAAAGAAAUAACUGCAGUACAGAUUUUAACAAUUAACAUUCCUGCCGUGGAAGUCGU
This 713-nucleotide long non-coding RNA is filed under the name Vulpes vulpes (red fox). RNAcentral describes it as "lncRNA (ENSVVUG00000008729.1)". Lineage: Eukaryota; Metazoa; Chordata; Mammalia; Carnivora; Canidae. The record is from RNAcentral.